This 253-nucleotide ribosomal RNA is filed under the name uncultured bacterium. Its description in RNAcentral is "partial 16S ribosomal RNA". It matches the Rfam family "Bacterial small subunit ribosomal RNA", at positions 524 to 776 of the family's 1533-position model. The record is from RNAcentral.
UACGGAGGGUGCAAGCGUUAUCCGGAUUCACUGGGUUUAAAGGGUGCGUAGGUGGGUCUGUAAGUCAGCGGUGAAAUCCCCGAGCUUAACUUGGGAACUGCCAUUGAUACUAUAGAUCUUGAAUACUGUGGAGGUCAGCGGAAUAUGUCAUGUAGCGGUGAAAUGCUUAGAUAUGACAUAGAACACCAAUAGCGAAGGCAGCUCGCUGGGACGUUACUGACACUGAGGCGCGAAAGCGUGGGGAGCGAACAGG